CGCUCGCUCCUCUCGUUCCUUUUCCUUUCCUUGUUCUCUCCGCGCCAGACCUUUGCCCCCCGGGACGUGCACGCGGGCGCUGCGCGGUCUGUCUGUGCGGGGCCGGGGGACUGCAGCCGCCGCGUGAAGCACGGAGCCGUGCGGUGCUGUCCCGCUGCCAGGGCCGCAGCAUCGCCCUCCCGCUGUAUCCCAAGCUGUUACUUAUGAGACGAGUGCGUGCUUUCUGUAGCUUGACCACCCGAGGUACCCCAGUGCGUUUUCUCUGUGCACUUUUCCCUGAUGACCCCCCUCCCCCCGCCUGCACCGCAGGGAUACCGCUCACCCCGGCCCAUCUCCAGGCAGGCUCCAGCACAGCGCUGUGCUGCUGCAGGGGGUGGAGGAACAGGGGGUGGCUGCUGUUGCUUGCUGGAGCCCAGCAGAUGAUGCCAGCGCUCAGGCUGGUGCAGGUUAUCCACGUGCUGCUCUCAGGCAGGGCUGUGCUUAAUCCCACUGCUGUGUAGGUUGUGGGUGAACGGCUCUGCCGGCUCCUGAGGUGGGUGGUUGGUGCUCGUGGCACUGGGUUCCUCUGGCCAUGCCAUGCCAGAGCAUGCACCCCUGGGGAACUGCAGUCCCCGCUCAGGGCAUGGAGGCUGCCGGAAUGCAGUGUUCCUCAGGAAUGCACGGUGGCCGAUCGGGGUAGCUCAGGUGUGGCCACAGCACACUCUGUACAGCCUUAAUUUGAAUGCCUGAGAGGGCUGUGGGAAGGAAUGCGAGUGCCUCGUAGUGCUCUCUGCCAGAUAGCUCUAAUUGCUGGCUGCUGAUGACUCUGGCCUCAAUGAGUUACGCAGCUGAGUUUGGGUGAGUUCAGCUCCGCUCACUUCUCUGAAACUCUUGGCCAAGGUGAAAGCUGUUUCCCUUCAGAGGCAUUAGCUACAACAGCAAGAAAAUGUGAACUUGUCUGGGAUGGGAACCCUUCUGGAAACCCAUGCCCAGUGUGGGAGGUGGGCACCCAGCAGCUCCUCACAUUGAUGCCCUGAGGCCUGUUGGGUGCCAUGCAGCAGCCCUCAGAGGGACAGCAGCUGGUGCACUGGGAGCAGGGCUGGUGCUAGUGGCUUGCUUACAUGCUUUCCCUGGACCUGCAGCUGCCCAGCUCCUUGGCCGAGCUCUUUCUUCCUGCUGCAUUGUUUGCCCUAGGAAAGCGUAGCUGCUCCAGCUGCCUUCCUAUUCCUCUGCAAGGCUUCCUGUCAGGCUCCAGAGAUCAAGGUUGCUCUGUCGGGCCUGGCUCUGCAUGGCUUCCUUCCUCAAGGCACCGCUGCAGCAGCACCAUGCCGCCACAAGAUAAGGUUUAGCUGUGAGGUGGCUGUAACACUGAAGACGUUUAGCUGUUCUGUAGAUUACUUGUGCUAUAUUGCGUUUUACAAAAACAACUUCUAGCUGGGGCUUUAGAAAAUGAGGUGACUGUGGCUCUGAAUGAAGGGGUUUGCAGCCCAUCCAUGCAGUGUGGGUGGAGCAGGAGCCAGGUGGUAGGAUGGGCUCUGACUGUACAUAUGGCCCUGGAUAAACUGUGCCGCUCCUGAAAAAACAUCCUGACCUGGCUUUCCAGAAAUGAUGUUCCAAACAAACCUCAUGGCAUUCUGCUCGAUGGGCUGAAGCCCACGCUGCCUCUUCUGCAAGCUGCAAAGUGCUGCUUGACUGUAGUGCUUCUCUCCCUGUGGCUGUGGGUUCUGUCGAACUUGGGACUUCAUCUUCAGUUUUCAGUCUCUUUUGUGCUGCUGAGCAAACAUGAGGCCAUGCUGGGGUCUGGAGCUAUGUACAAAUAAGGGCUUUUAGGUGGAGAACUUUUAUGACCAGGUUGGCCUUUGGGGCCUGGGGUGUUUAGGGCGAGCUCUGAGCCAAAUCAGCUGGGGAAUCCAGACGGCUGCAGCUGCUGGAUUUUUAGCAUUAAUAAUGCCAUCAAACCUCUGCUAAAUGGAUGCAGUGCAUGCUCCAGUUAUUAUUUAACUUCCAGGAACGCUUUAGAAGCCAUGCAGUAUGGGUUAGCUACUGCUGCUGUACUACAAUCCACACCUCUAAAAGCUUGCUACUGAAGAAGUUUGGCAUUCCAACUUUGUUUCAUUGAUCUGAUUAUAUUCAGAGUAAUCAAUCAAAGUUAUGUUUGAGCACGGUCUUUGAUUCAGUUUGGAGCAGGAGUUAGCCUCAGCCUCCCUGGCCUCUUGUUUAGCUGAGUCCACAGGCAGUUCCAGGAUGCUUCUCCUUAAAGCAGAAGGUGCCCUCCAUACAGUGCAGGUUUGUGACUUGUCUGUGUGCUCUGAGGUAAAAACAGCUGUAAAGCACCACUGUACAUUGUGCCAUCCAGCAAAGAUGGGAUGGAAAGCCUUGAGCUUGUUGGGGCAGGUAAUUUGAAUGUGAGGAGUCUUCAGCUCAGUGCCUGGUAGCACUGAAGUGUUAACAAGUGCUAAGUCUGGCUUUUUUUUUUCUCUGCCAGACUGAGGAUAAUUGCAGAUUCCUGGGUGCUGAGUGGUGUGCAGCGUGACAGGCGCGCUGUGGAGUAGGACGCCAGGAAUGCAGAGCACAAGGGCUUUGCUCUUGGCCUAAGGAGCUGAUCGGCUCUGGAGAUUACUUUGUAUGGGAGCCACAUCGUGCCUUGGUAGAAGCCACAGAAAAUUGCUGGGAGGAGGCUGAGGUUAAGUUUGGCACCAAGCUUGCUCCCAGAAACCCUAUUAUCAGGUGGUAGGAGUCAACUGAUUUUAGCUUAGGAGCAGAGGGUUUCAAGGUCUGGAGCCUGGCAGGCAGUUUCUAUCACCUGCCCUGCUCACACCCAGUGCUUGCCUGCAGCCCAGCAUCUCCUGCAGCAGCAGGGUGGGUGCUGAGCAGCUGGCGUUUGUGUGUUUUUUUUUUUUUUCUGGUACAAUGUGGAGGUGGUAAUCCUAGACUGCAGCACUCUGAUUGAUCAAACCGAAAAACAUGUGGUUUCUCUUCGCUGGGUUGUGCUUUCAUCAGAUAAGUGAGCUGAUCUGACUUGCCUUCCAACUGCAGGAUGCUGGACAGUAAUAUGAGAAAAUAGGUGGGGAGAGGUGGCGGGGGCUGUGUGGCAGCGCUGCUGCCUGCUCCUGUGUCACCGGGAUCUGGCGUUGGCGGCAGUUUAGCACUUGGCUUUCAUGUUUGCCUUUGGUUGUUGAUGCACUACAGGAUGACAAGGCCAGCUGUGAAUUCCUAAAUUUCUUCUAAAACUUGCAGAAUGUAUUAUCCUAUAAUACUUAGAGCUAGAUGCUUGACAGCUGAAAAAAGGAAAAUGUAUUUUCAGCCUGUAUACACUUCGGGUCUCUCUCUGUCUCACUCCGGGUGCUAUUAACACAUCAUAAGAAGGUAGUCAAAACACGCUUGCAUUUUGUCUGCCACUUACCUGUGACUUCCCUGGAGGCUGUUUUCUGGAAAACAUCCAGUGUUUCUUGGAAGCAGAUUUCUGCUUCUUGGAAACGUGACACUUAAUCCUUCCCCUCUAAAAUUAUUUUCGAUAGACUGACAGUGGGCCUCACUGCUAGAAUGGCUCUGCUUUCUAAGAGCCACUUGUUUGGGCUCCUCAGGACCAUGUGUUUCAACAGUUUGACUGUUGGUCUAAAGAGUAUAAAAUCAUACAAUACCCUGAGUUGGAAGGGACCCGUAAGAGUCCAACGCCUGGCUCCAUGCAGGAAUAAGUGGCUUUACAUGAGUCAUUUGCUUCAAGUUAGUGUAAGGUAGCUUAUGUGGACUGUUCUGUGUGUCUGUUUGAUGUGUUCUUCUACAUCUGAGAGUAAACUUGUAAAGUGAUCAAACUCUUCUGUAAAGUAGUUUGGGACUGAUUAGGCUAAUGUGCAAACACCUUUUUUGUUUAAGGCACUGGAAAACUAUACCCUCCAUUCAAGAAGGACCGAAGUCUUGACUGCUCUGUAUUCUAAUGCUAUGCUCUGUAUUGGCUUACAUGGGGAUGUUUAAAUCUAAGUGGGGCAGGAUAACUAUUUUCCUAGCCUACUGUGUAAUCUAAGAAUGUGGUUAACCUUGUGUGUGGCCAUGCUUCUGAAUUCCCAGUAUUGUUCUGCCUGCUCCUUGUAAUGCAGAGUAAAACAGUGAAUCCCUCAAGCUUUGGAGGAAUUCUGUUUCCUCUUUGCUCCUUGGAAAUAGACUCUGUGGGACCUGAACAAGGGCCUGCAGGGUUUAGGCCAGAAAUAGAUGCUAAGCAAAGACAUCAAAGAAAGACAGCAUGUUGCAGGUGAUGCUGGUGUGACCAGAUCUCUACUGUACUGUAAUGCUCUCCCAGGUCUGCCACCAGGAUCAGGUGUACCUGUGCAUGGACCUGUCAUCCUUCACUGCCUGAUGUGGUACACAGCUCACAAACAUGGUACUGGGCCUGUAACUCACUACAGUAAUGAAAGGAGAAUGCAAAGCUCAGAGACAUGGGGUUUGGAUCUGUUUGGGCUUGGUACCAGUGUGCAUGAAGAGCCUGGCCCACCAGUUGUUGCUUGUCAAGCAUCAAACCUGACUUGGCUCUUGAAGCGGCAUCCAGGCUUUCUGUAGAGAAACCUUUAGGCUCCUGUGAGAUUUUCUUGCUUUUAGUGUGUGUCCCCAGUAGUGCUGUGGUUCUGUUCCAGGGCAGCUGCCUGUGGAAGCAGUUGUCCUCUCUGGACAGACGCACCAAGGCAGUGAUGGAGGCACAUGGCAGGUAAGAGCAGGCGAGACUUGUUGCUGCAGUCUGCUUGGACUUGGCAAGAAAAGCAGAAUAAGAUGUUCCAAAAGCAUCUGUGCUGGAGGAAGGAAACACUGUGUAGUGAGUGUUAACUGUCGGGGGGGAAAGAAUCCCAAACAAAAUCUGUUUUUUUUUUUAAAAAAAAAAAAAAGCAAAGGGAAGGCACUACCUGUCCCUGUAAGGACAUCUGUGUAGUCUUUAUUACAGGCUUCAUAGUUUUGUCCUACUCACAUGGCUCAGUUUACUGCAGGCUGAAUUCAUGCUAACGGUAGAGAGGAACAAAUGCAUACCCUCUCUCAUGGUGUUUUGGGAAAUGAGUAGCAGUUUUCGUGAGAAAAGCACAUGUGAAGCCUGCACUAGAUGCUCUUUUUUAUAUUUUUCUUCUCGCUUGCUGCUCUUGUGGUAGCAGUGGUAAGGACCCAACCCUGUAACGGUUGCCUGGGUGGGGUGCAUUGGGGUGAGCUGCUCUUGCUCCUCCCAAGGCCUUGACUGUGGGUUCAGAGUUGAGUCAACUGAGGUCUGAGGUUAUCGCUUCAGUGGGCUGAGCAAGCUGUGCCUGUUCACACAGAUUAAUGCAAUGAAGCUCCAGAGAGAUUUCUUCCCAACACCUUGCUUUUGCUUGGUACGGAUUUUGUUCUUCUCUACCCACAAGGCAAAAAAAAAAAAAAAAAGCCUGUAGUUUACACUCCUACCUGUUUGCAUUUCUCCUGAGUACUCUGUAAUCUAAUUAAUCUAAUAGGGAAGAUGCUUCCUUCUGCAUUGUUAGGAGUGAAAUCCAGGAUCCUGUAGUUGAAGGCUCUGCAGUGAGUUUGUUUUAUCAUAACCAGAUGGUUCUCUGGACUAUAACACUGUCUCUGAGUUUUCUUCAGCUUUCUGUCAGUCUCUACAACUAACCUUGAGUGUCCACAUAACAUCUGGUACAUUAUAGUAAGGAAUGAAUCUGCUGCAGUGGGCUUAAUGGCUUGCAAUUCCUAAUGCAAAACACUGUUGUGCUGUAGUUGGAAGUUUAACAUCUGUAGUAUCAUGCUAGCAAAGUAGAAGCAAGCUAUUGCAUACAUAUUCCAGUGGUAAUACUCAUGACCCUUGCAAGAAUAGAAACAGCAAUUUUUUUUGUUAGGAAAAACAAGUGAGGCCACUUCAAACAGCAACCAGACACAGUCUUGCCCAAGUUCCUGGGGAAGCCUUGUGCUGACUAAUGCAGCAGCAGAUGUUCUCCUGCCCUGAAGCUGCCUGGGGGUGGGCAGGGGCUGGAGCAGCAGAAUCCAGUCCCUGCUGGUGUGGUGGAGUAGAGUGGCUUGGGCUUCCUGCUGGUGCUGCCCUCGGAACAAAGCAGCCAUAGCUCUCUAGCAAGCCAAACCCUCUGAGGAGAAUGAUCAUUUGUAACUGUACAGUCUUCUUGUUGAUGGGGUGCUUCCUCUGAGUUUGUUGGGUGAUGCUCCUCUACUGUUCCCUACAGCUUAGAGAAGCAGACAGCUCAUGUGGUGGGGAGGAUAUAUUCAAUGCUGAAGUCAAACUCUUACUUUGAAGCAUAAGUUAAUCUAAUAUAUCACUGGCCUGCAGAAAAUAACUCUGAAGUACAGCAGACUGUGGUGGCCAGCCUGUGAGUUGUUGGUGGUGUGGCUUUGAAUGCCCAGGCAGAGAUCACUCUUGCAAAGGGAUGAGCAGUUUCUCCUAACAGCAGUGAGAGGCUGCACAAGCUCCCCUGCCAGCACUACCAAAUAACAGCAUGAAAAUGGCUGCAGGCUGUGGUGACAUCCUGGGUUGCUCCUUCUGCCUUGCUCCAUGGCACUGGGCAAACCACGAUGUGUUUCUUAGUCAGAGCACUGGUGAGCUGGGCUGUGCUUCCAAGAUCUGGCACCUCUGAGGGCAAGGUGGGCAUGGACUGCCACCAAACCCAGCCUUCUGCUUUUGCCCCCAGAUGCAGCCUUCUGCUCUGCAGGAGGAGUGCAGCCCACAGCACCUGACACAGGGCGGUGGGAGCCAUGGAGCAGCUCCGAUGCUUAAUGCCAGUUUUAGUAAAACUCUUCUGGAACCAGAACUCUUCUACUCAGGCCUUCAGCUCAGGCAAACUGGGUCAAUGCAGGCACACGCAGUCUUCUGCAGCAAGCCUGGGUGUGGUGGAAGCAUUUUUGUGGCUGCAGAGCAGUAACUGAAAGCUGUGAGGCUGCCCUUCCUGCUGGCUCGUGGCUGGGCUGUUGCCAGCCGCCUCCUGCACUGAGGCCUGCAGGGCAGCUGCAUGGGCCUGCGCUUGGGGCAGCCGUGACCCGGUCUUGCCUGCGGCCCUGUUGGCCAGCUGAGCUGCUCCUGGCUGCCUGCUGGUCUUGAUUAGUCUACAGCCACCCUUGCAAGGAGACAAUACCCUGUAUGGCUAUAUGAAAGGGCACUGGCGUGGUUGGUGGGCCUGAAGCAUGCCGUAGGUGGCGGCCCGUGAAGUGCCGUGUAAAUAAACUUUGAAAUGUCUCCUUCUGGGCACAGCGCGCAGAGCUGUGGGAGCAGACCCGCACUCUGAGCAAACAUCCAUGAUAUGUGAAUCUGAAGGUUAUUCAAACACAGAAGAGGAAAUGCUGUUCCCCGUGGCUAGAUGCUAACACGCCCUAGCUAUCCUUCAUUUACUUGGUCUAAUUAAUUGCUUUACAUCCCCUUUUCUAACAAAAAUCUUGCAGCAGUCAGUGCAGCAUGAUUUUGAAGGACUUACCGGACCUGUCCUUGUAUAUCUGAGGGCCAAAGCCCUGACAUGUGCACCUUGGAACAUACCUUUUGUGCAGCCCUCCAUUCGUCACAAGGCAUGUGUGUUUGCUCCUGUGUGCAGCAGGUCCCUGGGCUCAGGCUGUGGGAGCAAAGUGCCCAAGCUGGAUCUGCCCCCUGGAGUCCUGCAUAUGGCUGUGAAUGAGGAACACUGGAUUGCUGAACAGUGUUGGUGCCAAACUGUCAUCUUGAUAGUACAAGAGUGUCUGAGUGUUACUUCGCUUUACAGCCAGACUGUAUAUUUUUGCAGGGUUUCCUUCUUUGCAAGGCUCUGUAACUGUGCUUAUCAGUUUCCCACAUAAUCCAUAGCCCCGGUACUUCAGAGUCUGCUCUAAAACACUGAAUUGGAUGAUCUUUGCAUUGAUCUGAGUUGUUCUGGAAACACAAAAAAGCAAGCUUCAGUGCAAGACCAAGAGCUAGGAGCAGGACUGCUGUUGGAUGUUCAACAUAUGUAAAACUGUAACUUGGAUGAGCCUGUUCCAACACCUGGAUGCUUCUGCAGUGCUGCUGCUUGUUGCAGUACUUGUUAGUCACAGUGGUUCUCUGUCACUCUCACAAAUACAGUUUGUUUUCAAAUUCCCCUGUGGGGGAAGUGCUGGUGUCUGAGCAGACCUAACGUACUGACUGUGGGAAGACUGGGAUGCUAUUCUCAUUGUUUCAGCUCUGUUCUGGGUGUUGAUUAACAGUGUGGCUGCAUGCAAAUGUAUGAUAGCUUAUGUAACUGCUUGAACAAAAUCAAUGAUCUAAUUAAAAGUCAAAUAGAAA
Molecule: long non-coding RNA, 8209 nt
Organism: Numida meleagris (helmeted guineafowl)
Lineage: Eukaryota; Metazoa; Chordata; Aves; Galliformes; Numididae
Exons: 2
Source: RefSeq, a predicted model, not a curated record